This 934-nucleotide ribosomal RNA is filed under the name Dechloromonas sp. CCO. RNAcentral's name for it is "bacterial SSU rRNA". It matches the Rfam family "Bacterial small subunit ribosomal RNA", at positions 428 to 1353 of the family's 1533-position model. The record is from RNAcentral. Lineage: Bacteria; Pseudomonadati; Pseudomonadota; Betaproteobacteria; Rhodocyclales; Azonexaceae.
AAGCUCUUUCAGCCGGGAAGAAAACGCAUGGGUUAAUACCCUGUGUGGAUGACGGUACCGGAAUAAGAAGCACCGGCUAACUACGUGCCAGCAGCCGCGGUAAUACGUUGGGUGCGAGCGUUAAUCGGAAUUACUGGGCGUAAAGCGUGCGCAGGCGGUUUUGUAAGACAGGCGUGAAAUCCCCGGGCUCAACCUGGGAACUGCGUUUGUGACUGCAAGGCUAGAGUACGGCAGAGGGGGGUGGAAUUCCACGUGUAGCAGUGAAAUGCGUAGAGAUGUGGAGGAACACCAAUGGCGAAGGCAGCCCCCUGGGUCGAUACUGACGCUCAUGCACGAAAGCGUGGGUAGCAAACAGGAUUAGAUACCCUGGUAGUCCACGCCCUAAACGAUGUCAACUAGGUGUUGGGUGGGUAAAACCAUUUAGUACCGGAGCUAACGCGUGAAGUUGACCGCCUGGGGAGUACGGCCGCAAGGUUAAAACUCAAAGGAAUUGACGGGGACCCGCACAAGCGGUGGAUGAUGUGGAUUAAUUCGAUGCAACGCGAAAAACCUUACCUACCCUUGACAUGUCCAGAAGCCCGAAGAGAUUUGGGUGUGCCCGAAAGGGAGCUGGAACACAGGUGCUGCAUGGCUGUCGUCAGCUCGUGUCGUGAGAUGUUGGGUUAAGUCCCGCAACGAGCGCAACCCUUGUCGUUAAUUGCCAUCAUUUAGUUGGGCACUUUAACGAGACUGCCGGUGACAAACCGGAGGAAGGUGGGGAUGACGUCAAGUCCUCAUGGCCCUUAUGGGUAGGGCUUCACACGUCAUACAAUGGUCGGUACAGAGGGUUGCCAAGCCGCGAGGUGGAGCCAAUCCCAGAAAGCCGAUCGUAGUCCGGAUUGCAGGCUGCAACUCGCCUGCAUGAAGUCGGAAUCGCUAGUAAUCGCGGAUCAGC